RNAcentral lists this ribosomal RNA (324 nucleotides) under Triticum aestivum (bread wheat). Its description in RNAcentral is "partial small subunit ribosomal RNA". Lineage: Eukaryota; Viridiplantae; Streptophyta; Magnoliopsida; Poales; Poaceae. The record is from RNAcentral.
AUGGCGGCAAAGAAACAUCUCUUUCGCUUUGGGUCUUUUGCGAUAAAGGACGGGUCAGAGAUUCCUUUCCGGGGAGACAUCUGGCUAGGCAAUGCCAGUCUCCAAGAACAAUAUCCAGUCUUGUACAUCAUUGCUCGCGAGAAGAAUAAUACUAUUGCACAUGUGCUUAGUUCAUCCCCGCCGAAUAUUUCGUUCAGGCGGGAUUUGAUUGGGCCUCGACUUACGUCAUGGCAUAAUCUAUUUUCCAGGUUGGAUUCGAUUAACCUGAUACAAGACCGAGAUGUGUUUCGCUGAACCUUACUACAUCGGGGUCUUUCACAGUAG